Molecule: ribosomal RNA, 1311 nt
Filed under: Promicromonospora sp. 42 ZZ-2014
Lineage: Bacteria; Bacillati; Actinomycetota; Actinomycetes; Micrococcales; Promicromonosporaceae
Description: bacterial SSU rRNA
Rfam family: Bacterial small subunit ribosomal RNA
Source: RNAcentral
GGUGAGUAACACGUGAGCAACCUGCCCCCUACUUCGGGAUAAGCCUUGGAAACGGGGUCUAAUACCGGAUAUGAACGCUUGCCGCAUGGUGGGUGUUGGAAAGUUUUUCGGUGGGGGAUGGGCUCGCGGCCUAUCAGCUUGUUGGUGGGGUAAUGGCCUACCAAGGCGUCGACGGGUAGCCGGCCUGAGAGGGCGACCGGCCACACUGGGACUGAGACACGGCCCAGACUCCUACGGGAGGCAGCAGUGGGGAAUAUUGCACAAUGGGCGAAAGCCUGAUGCAGCGACGCCACGUGAGGGAUGACGGCCUUCGGGUUGUAAACCUCUUUCAGCAGGGAAGAAGCGCAAGUGACGGUACCUGCAGAAGAAGCGCCGGCUAACUACGUGCCAGCAGCCGCGGUAAUACGUAGGGCGCAAGCGUUGUCCGGAAUUAUUGGGCGUAAAGAGCUCGUAGGCGGUCUGUCGCGUCUGGUGUGAAAUCCCAUGGCUCAACUGUGGGCUUGCAUCGGGUACGGGCAGACUAGAGUGCUGUAGGGGAGACUGGAAUUCCUGGUGUAGCGGUGGAAUGCGCAGAUAUCAGGAGGAACACCGAUGGCGAAGGCAGGUCUCUGGGCAGUUACUGACGCUGAGGAGCGAAAGCAUGGGGAGCGAACAGGAUUAGAUACCCUGGUAGUCCAUGCCGUAAACGUUGGGCACUAGGUGUGGGGCCAGUUCCACUGGUUCUGUGCCGCAGCUAACGCAUUAAGUGCCCCGCCUGGGGAGUACGGCCGCAAGGCUAAAACUCAAAGGAAUUGACGGGGGCCCGCACAAGCGGCGGAGCAUGCGGAUUAAUUCGAUGCAACGCGAAGAACCUUACCAAGGCUUGACAUGUACGAGAAAGCCCCAGAGAUGGGGUUCUCUUUGGACACUCGUACACAGGUGGUGCAUGGUUGUCGUCAGCUCGUGUCGUGAGAUGUUGGGUUAAGUCCCGCAACGAGCGCAACCCUUAUCCUAUGUUGCCAGCGGGUUAUGCCGGGGACUCAUGGGAGACUGCCGGGGUCAACUCGGAGGAAGGUGGGGAUGACGUCAAAUCAUCAUGCCCCUUAUGUCUUGGGCUUCACGCAUGCUACAAUGGCCGGUACAGAGGGCUGCGAUACCGUGAGGUGGAGCGAAUCCCAAAAAGCCGGUCUCAGUUCGGAUCGGGGUCUGCAACUCGACCCCGUGAAGUCGGAGUCGCUAGUAAUCGCAGAUCAGCAACGCUGCGGUGAAUACGUUCCCGGGCCUUGUACACACCGCCCGUCAAGUCACGAAAGUUGGUAACACCCGAAGCUC